This 429-nucleotide ribosomal RNA is filed under the name Chloroflexota bacterium. RNAcentral's name for it is "Chloroflexi bacterium partial 16S ribosomal RNA". It matches the Rfam family "Bacterial small subunit ribosomal RNA", at positions 355 to 776 of the family's 1533-position model. Lineage: Bacteria; Bacillati; Chloroflexota. The record is from RNAcentral.
UGGGGAAUAUUGCACAAUGGGCGCAAGCCUGAUGCAGCCAUGCCGCGUGUGUGAAGAAGGCCUUCGGGUUGUAAAGCACUUUCAGCGGGGAGGAAGGCGUUAAGGUUAAUAACCUUGGCGAUUGACGUUACCCGCAGAAGAAGCACCGGCUAACUCCGUGCCAGCAGCCGCGGUAAUACGGAGGGUGCAAGCGUUAAUCGGAAUUACUGGGCGUAAAGCGCACGCAGGCGGUCUGUCAAGUCGGAUGUGAAAUCCCCGGGCUCCACCUGGGAACUGCAUUCGAAACUGGCAGGCUAGAGUCUUGUAGAGGGGGGUAGAAUUCCAGGUGUAGCGGUGAAAUGCGUAGAGAUCUGGAGGAAUACCGGUGGCGAAGGCGGCCCCCUGGGCAAAGACAGACGCUCAGGUGCGAAAGCGUGGGGAGCAAACAGG